This 2928-nucleotide ribosomal RNA is filed under the name Klebsiella oxytoca. RNAcentral describes it as "23S ribosomal RNA". It matches the Rfam family "Bacterial large subunit ribosomal RNA". The record is from RNAcentral. Lineage: Bacteria; Pseudomonadati; Pseudomonadota; Gammaproteobacteria; Enterobacterales; Enterobacteriaceae.
GGGUUGUGAGGUUAAGCGACUAAGCGUACACGGUGGAUGCCCUGGCAGUCAGAGGCGAUGAAGGACGUGCUAAUCUGCGAAAAGCGUCGGUAAGGUGAUAUGAACCGUUAUAGCCGGCGAUGUCCGAAUGGGGAAACCCAGUGCAAUUCGUUGCACUAUCGUUAACUGAAUACAUAGGUUAACGAGGCGAACCGGGGGAACUGAAACAUCUAAGUACCCCGAGGAAAAGAAAUCAACCGAGAUUCCCCCAGUAGCGGCGAGCGAACGGGGAGCAGCCCGGAGUCUGAAUCAGCUUGUGUGUUAGUGGAAGCGUCUGGAAAGUCGCAGGGUACAGGGUGAUACUCCCGUACACUAAAACACACAGGUUGUGAACUCGAAGAGUAGGGCGGGACACGUGGUAUCCUGUCUGAAUAUGGGGGGACCAUCCUCCAAGGCUAAAUACUCCUGACUGACCGAUAGUGAACCAGUACCGUGAGGGAAAGGCGAAAAGAACCCCGGCGAGGGGAGUGAAAAAGAACCUGAAACCGUGUACGUACAAGCAGUAGGAGCCUCUUUAUGGGGUGACUGCGUACCUUUUGUAUAAUGGGUCAGCGACUUAUAUUCUGUAGCAAGGUUAACCGUAUAGGGGAGCCGCAGGGAAACCGAGUCUUAACUGGGCGUUAAGUUGCAGGGUAUAGACCCGAAACCCGGUGAUCUAGCCAUGGGCAGGUUGAAGGUUGGGUAACACUAACUGGAGGACCGAACCGACUAAUGUUGAAAAAUUAGCGGAUGACUUGUGGCUGGGGGUGAAAGGCCAAUCAAACCGGGAGAUAGCUGGUUCUCCCCGAAAGCUAUUUAGGUAGCGCCUCGUGAACUCAUCUUCGGGGGUAGAGCACUGUUUCGGCUAGGGGGUCAUCCCGACUUACCAACCCGAUGCAAACUACGAAUACCGAAGAAUGUUAUCACGGGAGACACACGGCGGGUGCUAACGUCCGUCGUGAAGAGGGAAACAACCCAGACCGCCAGCUAAGGUCCCAAAGUCAUGGUUAAGUGGGAAACGAUGUGGGAAGGCCCAGACAGCCAGGAUGUUGGCUUAGAAGCAGCCAUCAUUUAAAGAAAGCGUAAUAGCUCACUGGUCGAGUCGGCCUGCGCGGAAGAUGUAACGGGGCUAAACCAUGCACCGAAGCUGCGGCAGCGACACUAUGUGUUGUUGGGUAGGGGAGCGUUCUGUAAGCCGUUGAAGGUGGCCUGUGAGGGUUGCUGGAGGUAUCAGAAGUGCGAAUGCUGACAUAAGUAACGAUAAUGCGGGUGAAAAACCCGCACGCCGGAAGACCAAGGGUUCCUGUCCAACGUUAAUCGGGGCAGGGUGAGUCGACCCCUAAGGCGAGGCCGAAAGGCGUAGUCGAUGGGAAACAGGUUAAUAUUCCUGUACUCGGUGUUACUGCGAAGGGGGGACGGAGAAGGCUAUGUUGGCCGGGCGACGGUUGUCCCGGUUUAAGCAUGUAGGCGGAUGUUCCAGGUAAAUCCGGAACGUUACUAACGCUGAGGUGUGAUGACGAGGCACUACGGUGCUGAAGUGACAAAUGCCCUGCUUCCAGGAAAAGCCUCUAAGCAUCAGGUAACAUCAAAUCGUACCCCAAACCGACACAGGUGGUCAGGUAGAGAAUACCAAGGCGCUUGAGAGAACUCGGGUGAAGGAACUAGGCAAAAUGGUGCCGUAACUUCGGGAGAAGGCACGCUGAUAUGUAGGUGAAGUGGUUUACCCAUGGAGCUGAAAUCAGUCGAAGAUACCAGCUGGCUGCAACUGUUUAUUAAAAACACAGCACUGUGCAAACACGAAAGUGGACGUAUACGGUGUGACGCCUGCCCGGUGCCGGAAGGUUAAUUGAUGGGGUUAUCCGUAAGGAGAAGCUCUUGAUCGAAGCCCCGGUAAACGGCGGCCGUAACUAUAACGGUCCUAAGGUAGCGAAAUUCCUUGUCGGGUAAGUUCCGACCUGCACGAAUGGCGUAAUGAUGGCCAGGCUGUCUCCACCCGAGACUCAGUGAAAUUGAACUCGCUGUGAAGAUGCAGUGUACCCGCGGCAAGACGGAAAGACCCCGUGAACCUUUACUAUAGCUUGACACUGAACACUGGUCCUUGAUGUGUAGGAUAGGUGGGAGGCUUUGAAGUGUGGACGCCAGUCUGCAUGGAGCCAUCCUUGAAAUACCACCCUUUAAUGGCUGGUGUUCUAACGUGGGCCCGUUAUCCGGGUUGCGGACAGUGUCUGGUGGGUAGUUUGACUGGGGCGGUCUCCUCCUAAAGAGUAACGGAGGAGCACGAAGGUCAGCUAAUCCUGGUCGGACAUCAGGAGGUUAGUGCAAUGGCAUAAGCUGGCUUGACUGCGAGCGUGACGGCGCGAGCAGGUGCGAAAGCAGGUCAUAGUGAUCCGGUGGUUCUGAAUGGAAGGGCCAUCGCUCAACGGAUAAAAGGUACUCCGGGGAUAACAGGCUGAUACCGCCCAAGAGUUCAUAUCGACGGCGGUGUUUGGCACCUCGAUGUCGGCUCAUCACAUCCUGGGGCUGAAGUAGGUCCCAAGGGUAUGGCUGUUCGCCAUUUAAAGUGGUACGCGAGCUGGGUUUAGAACGUCGUGAGACAGUUCGGUCCCUAUCUGCCGUGGGCGCUGGAGAAUUGAGGGGGGCUGCUCCUAGUACGAGAGGACCGGAGUGGACGCAUCACUGGUGUUCGGGUUGUCAUGCCAAUGGCAUUGCCCGGUAGCUAAAUGCGGAAGAGAUAAGUGCUGAAAGCAUCUAAGCACGAAACUUGCCCCGAGAUGAGUUCUCCCUGACUCCUUGAGAGUCCUGAAGGAACGUUGAAGACGACGACGUUGAUAGGCCGGGUGUGUAAGCGCAGCGAUGCGUUGAGCUAACCGGUACUAAUGAACCGUGAGGCUUAACCUUACAACGCCGAAG